CCCCACCCCGCCCCGCCCCCAGGCCCUCCUCCCGCCCCGCCCCGUCCCGCCUGCAGGAUCUCCCCACCGCGCGCUAGUCCUCGGCCUCAGUCUUGCUGAAUUGAGUGGGCGCAGCCGCGGCUACUUUGUAGCGGUUCGGGCCCGGCCCAGCCCGCGGCAGUGAAACCCGGUCUCGGACCGACCAUGAGCCUAAAGAGCCUGUGUCCGUUGUCCCCGGGUACAGAGGCCUGAGUUCUAAGCGCAGGUUGAAAAGUACAGGUAGAAGCCACUGAAGCUGUAAAGCUCUGAUGCUGGUAUUUUAACUGACUUACACCAACUAUCACUCUGCAGUUUACAAUACACAAGAACCUUUAAUGAGGUCACAGUUCUCACGUAACUUGUAGCAACCUGGUGUCUGUGCAGUGGCUUAGAAGUUAGAGCAGUGGGAUCCUGCUGGUGGUUUAAUUCUCACAAGUCUGUGAAGAGGGUACUGUUUCUCUUUUUGCAUUUGAGGCAGUCACUUAAGGUUCCAUCACAUAUGCCCAGGAAGCCUUGCAGCUACUUUUUUCCCUGUGUAACUGUUAGAAAGUCACUUAUCCUUCUUGAGACUUAGUGUCCUGGUAUAACAGGAGAAGUAUUUAAACAUGGGUUAGGUCACUUUGGUGGGGAAAGACCACAGAGCUACUGAGAAUAUAAACUCUUCAUAGUAUAUACUUGAACCUCUAAGAAAUUAAAAUUUAGCACAAAGGGAACAUAACCUCAGCAUGAUGAGGUUUUUGAUGAAUGUAGCAUGAUGAGCUGUAAAAAAGGAAUUUAAAGGACCCAAUGAUGCUAGAUUAUUAAAAUAUGAGUAUUGGGGUGAUGGGGGAGGUUUUCCUAUGGGAAGAAAUGUGUCGCAAGAUGAACAGAACCCAGUUCCUGUCGAUCAGCUCUGGAUGUCUACAAUACCUCAUUUUCCAGAAUCUUAAAUAAAGGUAUUUAUUUCAUUA
Sus scrofa (pig) is the source of this 968-nucleotide long non-coding RNA. RefSeq lists it as uncharacterized. The record is from RefSeq and is a predicted model, not a curated record. Lineage: Eukaryota; Metazoa; Chordata; Mammalia; Artiodactyla; Suidae.